CAGUGGCGAACGGGUGAGUAACACGUGGGCAAUCUGCCCUGCACUCUGGGACAAGCCCUGGAAACGGGGUCUAAUACCGGAUAUGACCUGCUCUCGCAUGAGGGUGGGUGGAAAGCUCCGGCGGUGCAGGAUGAGCCCGCGGCCUAUCAGCUUGUUGGUGGGGUGAUGGCCUACCAAGGCGACGACGGGUAGCCGGCCUGAGAGGGCGACCGGCCACACUGGGACUGAGACACGGCCCAGACUCCUACGGGAGGCAGCAGUGGGGAAUAUUGCACAAUGGGCGAAAGCCUGAUGCAGCGACGCCGCGUGAGGGAUGACGGCCUUCGGGUUGUAAACCUCUUUCAGCAGGGAAGAAGCGAAAGUGACGGUACCUGCAGAAGAAGCACCGGCUAACUACGUGCCAGCAGCCGCGGUAAUACGUAGGGUGCGAGCGUUGUCCGGAAUUAUUGGNCGUAAAGAGCUCGUAGGCGGCUUGUCGCCGUCGGAUGUGAAAGCCCGGGGCUUAACUCCGGGUCUGCAUUCGAUACGGGCAGGCUAGAGUUCGGUAGGGGAGAUCGGANUCCU
This 564-nucleotide ribosomal RNA is filed under the name Streptomyces sp. 337G11. RNAcentral's name for it is "bacterial SSU rRNA". It matches the Rfam family "Bacterial small subunit ribosomal RNA", at positions 93 to 670 of the family's 1533-position model. The record is from RNAcentral. Lineage: Bacteria; Bacillati; Actinomycetota; Actinomycetes; Kitasatosporales; Streptomycetaceae.